This 396-nucleotide ribosomal RNA is filed under the name uncultured bacterium. RNAcentral's name for it is "partial 16S ribosomal RNA". It matches the Rfam family "Bacterial small subunit ribosomal RNA", at positions 523 to 918 of the family's 1533-position model. The record is from RNAcentral.
AUACGUAGGGAGCGAGCGUUGUCCGGAAUUACUGGGUGUAAAGGGAGCGUAGGCGGGACUGCAAGUCAGAUGUGAAAAACCGGGGCUUAACCCCGGAGCUGCAUUUGAAACUGUGGUUCUUGAGUGAAGUAGAGGCACGCGGAAUUCCUGGUGUAGCGGUGAAAUGCGUAGAUAUCAGGAGGAACACCGGUGGCGAAGGCGGCUUGCUGGGCUUUUACUGACGCUGAGGCUCGAAAGCGUGGGUAGCAAACAGGAUUAGAUACCCUGGUAGUCCACGCUGUAAACGAUGAUUACUAGGUGUGGGGGGACUGACCCCUUCCGUGCCGCAGUUAACACAAUAAGUAAUCCACCUGGGGAGUACGGCCGCAAGGUUGAAACUCAAAGGAAUUGACGGGG